RNAcentral lists this ribosomal RNA (253 nucleotides) under uncultured bacterium. RNAcentral describes it as "partial 16S ribosomal RNA". It matches the Rfam family "Bacterial small subunit ribosomal RNA", at positions 524 to 776 of the family's 1533-position model. The record is from RNAcentral.
UACGUAGGUGGCAAGCGUUGUCCGGAAUUACUGGGUGUAAAGGGAGCGCAGGCGGGAAGCCAAGUCAGCUGUGAAAACUACGAGCUUAACUUGUAGACUGCAGUUGAAACUGGUUUUCUUGAGUGAAGUAGAGGUUGGCGGAAUUCCGAGUGUAGCGGUGAAAUGUGUAGAUAUUCGGAGGAACACCGGUGGCGAAGGCGGCCUACUGGGCUUUAACUGACGCUGAGGCUCGAAAGUGUGGGGAGCAAACAGG